RNAcentral lists this transfer RNA (58 nucleotides) under Tetranychus malaysiensis. Its description in RNAcentral is "tRNA-Met". Lineage: Eukaryota; Metazoa; Arthropoda; Arachnida; Trombidiformes; Tetranychidae. The record is from RNAcentral.
UUAGGGAUAAGCUAUUAUUUAAGCUAAAGGACUCAUAAUCCUUUGAAUUUACCCUAAA